This 74-nucleotide transfer RNA is filed under the name Pteropus alecto (black flying fox). It matches the Rfam family "tRNA". From Rfam's summary of the family: Transfer RNA (tRNA) molecules are approximately 80 nucleotides in length. Their secondary structure includes four short double-helical elements and three loops (D, anti-codon, and T loops). The record is from Rfam by way of RNAcentral. Lineage: Eukaryota; Metazoa; Chordata; Mammalia; Chiroptera; Pteropodidae.
GGCUCCAUAGCGCAGUGUUUAGCACGUCUGCUUUACACGCAGAAGGUCCUGGGUUCCCACUCCAGGUGCAGCCA